RNAcentral lists this unclassified non-coding RNA (346 nucleotides) under soil metagenome. Its description in RNAcentral is "partial contains 5.8S ribosomal RNA, internal transcribed spacer 2, and large subunit ribosomal RNA". The stretch from base 1 to 120 matches the Rfam family "5.8S ribosomal RNA", at positions 35 to 154 of the family's 154-position model. The record is from RNAcentral.
GAUGAAGAACGUAGUGAAAUGCGAUAAGUAAUGUGAAUUGCAGAAUUCAGUGAAUCAUCGAAUCUUUGAACGCACAUUGCGCCCGCUAGUAUUCCGGCGGGCAUGCCUGUUCGAGCGUCAUUUCAACCCUCAAGCCCCCGGGUUUGGUGUUGGGGAUCGGCUCUGCCUUACGGCGGUGCCGCCCCCGAAAUACAUUGGCGGUCUCGCUGCAGCCUCCAUUGCGUAGUAGCUAACACCUCGCAACUGGAACGCGGCGCGGCCAUGCCGUAAAACCCCAACUUCUGAAUGUUGACCUCGGAUCAGGUAGGAAUACCCGCUGAACUUAAGCAUAUCAAUAAGCGGAGGA